UACGUAGGGUGCAAGCGUUAAUCGGAAUUACUGGGCGUAAAGGGUGCGCAGGCGGCCGUGUGUGUGAGGCGUGAAAGCCCGGGGCUUAACCCCGGAAUUGCACCUCAAACUACACGGCUAGAGCAUUGGAGAGGGUAGCAGAAUUCAUGGUGUAGCAGUGAAAUGCGUAGAUAUCAUGAGGAAUACCAGAGGCGAAGGCGGCUACCUGGACAAUUGCUGACGCUCAGGCACGAAAGCGUGGGGAGCAAAAGGG
Molecule: ribosomal RNA, 253 nt
Filed under: uncultured bacterium
Lineage: Bacteria
Description: partial 16S ribosomal RNA
Rfam family: Bacterial small subunit ribosomal RNA
Source: RNAcentral